RNAcentral lists this transfer RNA (72 nucleotides) under Ovis aries (sheep). It matches the Rfam family "tRNA". From Rfam's summary of the family: Transfer RNA (tRNA) molecules are approximately 80 nucleotides in length. Their secondary structure includes four short double-helical elements and three loops (D, anti-codon, and T loops). Lineage: Eukaryota; Metazoa; Chordata; Mammalia; Artiodactyla; Bovidae. The record is from Rfam by way of RNAcentral.
UGCGUGAUGGCUCAGAUGGUAAAGAAUCUGCCUGUAAUGCAGGAGACCCAGGUUCGAUCCCUGGUCAAGAAG